GACGAACGCUGGCGGCGUGCUUAACACAUGCAAGUCGAACGGAAAGGCCCUGCUUUUGUGGGGUGCUCGAGUGGCGAACGGGUGAGUAACACGUGAGUAACCUGCCCUUGACUUUGGGAUAACUUCAGGAAACUGGGGCUAAUACCGGAUAGGAGCUCCUGCUGCAUGGUGGGGGUUGGAAAGUUUCGGCGGUUGGGGAUGGACUCGCGGCUUAUCAGCUUGUUGGUGGGGUAGUGGCUUACCAAGGCUUUGACGGGUAGCCGGCCUGGGAGGGUGACCGGCGACAUGAGUACUAAGAUACGGACCAGACUCGUACGGGCGGCAGAAGUGGGGAGUAUUGCACAAUGGGCGGAAGCCUGAUGCAGCAACGCCGCGUGCGGGAUGACGUCCUUCUGGUUGUAAACCGCUUUCGCCUGUGACGAAGCGUGAGUGACGGUAAUGGGUAAAGAAGCACCGGCUAACUACGUG
This 468-nucleotide ribosomal RNA is filed under the name uncultured bacterium. Its description in RNAcentral is "partial 16S ribosomal RNA". It matches the Rfam family "Bacterial small subunit ribosomal RNA", at positions 28 to 507 of the family's 1533-position model. The record is from RNAcentral.